Molecule: long non-coding RNA, 342 nt
Filed under: Athene cunicularia (burrowing owl)
Lineage: Eukaryota; Metazoa; Chordata; Aves; Strigiformes; Strigidae
Description: lncRNA (ENSACUG00000006878.1)
Source: RNAcentral
ACCAUCACUGCCUGUUCUCUGGGUCUCUGCUGAGCCACUAGUAAAGCCAGCAGGAUAGUAUGAAGCCCAGUGACUUCCACAGCUGGAGCACAAGAGAGAAUUGCUCAGCCAGAGAAGCCUGUAACAUAGUUUAGAGGAAAAACAUUUACUUUGUCUUACAGUCAGUUCUGUCGAUUUACUGGUAGGCAGUCUCUGAAGUGUCAAGAAAUGUGUGCGUAUUGCCAGCUGUAGCUGUUGCUCCUCCAUAUUUGUAUGUAGCAAAACCUCCUUAUACCCACAAAAUGAAGGUCCUGAAGUUUAAUCUGAAGGAACAGAUACUUCCCUACUUCCAUUCAAUGCAGC